Molecule: ribosomal RNA, 631 nt
Filed under: Vibrio alginolyticus
Lineage: Bacteria; Pseudomonadati; Pseudomonadota; Gammaproteobacteria; Vibrionales; Vibrionaceae
Description: partial 23S ribosomal RNA
Rfam family: Bacterial large subunit ribosomal RNA
Source: RNAcentral
GGGCUAAUCACGGUUGGACAUCGUGAGGUUAGUGCAAUGGCAUAAGCCCGCUUGACUGCGAGAAUGACAAUUCGAGCAGGUGCGAAAGCAGGUCAUAGUGAUCCGGUGGUUCUGAAUGGAAGGGCCAUCGCUCAACGGAUAAAAGGUACUCCGGGGAUAACAGGCUGAUACCGCCCAAGAGUUCAUAUCGACGGCGGUGUUUGGCACCUCGAUGUCGGCUCAUCACAUCCUGGGGCUGAAGUCGGUCCCAAGGGUAUGGCUGUUCGCCAUUUAAAGUGGUACGCGAGCUGGGUUUAGAACGUCGUGAGACAGUUCGGUCCCUAUCUGCCGUGGGCGUUGGAGAAUUGAAAGGGGCUGCUCCUAGUACGAGAGGACCGGAGUGGACGAACCUCUGGUGUUCGGGUUGUGUCGCCAGACGCAUUGCCCGGUAGCUAAGUUCGGGAUCGAUAACCGCUGAAAGCAUCUAAGCGGGAAGCGAGCCUUGAGAUGAGUUCUCCCUGAUACUUUAAGUAUCCUAAAGGGUUGUCGUAGACUACGACGUUGAUAGGCAGGGUGUGUAAGCGUUGUGAGGCGUUGAGCUAACCUGUACUAAUUGCCCGUGAGGCUUAACCAUACAACACCCAAGGGGUUU